Molecule: transfer RNA, 67 nt
Filed under: Echeneibothrium williamsi
Lineage: Eukaryota; Metazoa; Platyhelminthes; Cestoda; Rhinebothriidea; Echeneibothriidae
Description: tRNA-Asn
Source: RNAcentral
GUCUGUGUAGAUUAUUAAAAUCGUGAUGCUGUUAACUUCAAGAAGGGAUCUAUUUUCUCCAUGGUCG